This 365-nucleotide long non-coding RNA is filed under the name Ananas comosus (pineapple). RNAcentral describes it as "long non-coding RNA (ACOM_LNC032223)". The record is from RNAcentral. Lineage: Eukaryota; Viridiplantae; Streptophyta; Magnoliopsida; Poales; Bromeliaceae.
UAAAUUUAAGGGAAAACUUCAAAAACCCCCCUGUGGUUUCGUGCAUUCUCACUUUGCUACCCUGUGGUUUAAAACGUAUCAAUUUGCUCCCCUGUGGUUUCGUUUUUAUCUUUUUGUUAUCAAUUUUAUUAUUAUUAUUUUUUUUAAAUCAGUGACAAAGUUAAAAUUAAAGGAUACUAAAGUGACUAUUCGAUAAAUAUAGAUGGUUAUCUGAAGUUUUUUGUAUAUAAUUUAACAAAAUAUUAACGAAAAAGCUUCCGAAAAGAUAAAAAUGAAACCACAGGGGGGUAAGUUGAUACGUUUUAAACCACAGGGUAGCAAAGUGAGAAUGCACGAAACCACAGGGGGGGUUUUUGAAGUUUUCC